Molecule: non-coding RNA, 3856 nt
Organism: Heterocephalus glaber (naked mole-rat)
Lineage: Eukaryota; Metazoa; Chordata; Mammalia; Rodentia; Bathyergidae
Source: RefSeq, a predicted model, not a curated record
GCCUGUGCAUUUUUCCAGAAGUGUCCUAAUGAGUUUCUCACAUACAACAUUGAGAAGAAAGACUGAUUUGGGGGAGAGCCCUUGGUUAUUUCUAAAGAGUAUUACUUUGUUGAUUGUUUGAGGAAGAGAAACAUCGUCUUGCUAUUUUACCAGAGUCCACAGCUCCACCUGGGAAUUCAUCUGUUUUGAAGUUCUUCAAAUAUGUGAUCACAGAUGUGGAAAAAUGCACUGCUACCAGAUGAAUUUCACUUGGAACCCAGUUCACGAUCAGCAAACACAGUGACUUCAACUUCUUUGCAAGUCUCUAUUGUCUUAAUAUUUGGAGUCUUGUUUUGCCAUUUUUGGAACAAAGAAAAAUCUCCCCCACAAGCUUCAGUGAUUUCAUUUUCUUCAGGCCCACACCUGAUUCUUUUAGCCCAUUUGCUAAGUAAACUAUUUUUAUUUGUCCUGUAGAUAUUUCAGAUAAAGAGUUUGUCUUUGACAUAAAAGACGGCUUCAUUGCUUCCAUGCUUUUAUUAGUGUAUGGUUGAUUUGGAAAACCAUAGCUUGACAGCACAGAAUUGACAAUAUUUUCUGCAGCUAAACAUAUUCUGAGUGGAGAAACCGUUGUCUGAAUUUGGUCUGCCCAUGCCCUACCGAGGUCCUGAGUUGCAGAAAACACGUCGAAUCAGCCGGCUGCAGACAGACAGGUCUGUGCACGCCAUACCGAGGUCCUGAGUCACGCAGAAGAUGCCAAAUCACCCUGCUGCAGACGGGGAGGUCUGCCCAUGCUCUCCCGAGGUCCUGAGUUGCACAGAACACGCAGAAUCAGCCCGCUGUAGACAGGCAGGUCUGCCCAUGCCCUACCGAGGUCCGGGGUCUCAAAGAAGACACCACAUCACCCCGCUGCAGACAGGCAGGUCUGCCCAUGCCCUCCUGAGGUCCUGAGUCGCACAGAACUCGCCGAAUCAGCCCGCUGUAGACAGACAGGCCUGCCCAUGCUCUCCCGAGGUCCUGAGUCGCACAGAACAUGCUGAAUGAGCCCGCUGCAGACAGGCAGGUCUGCCCAUGCCCUCCCGAGGACCUGAGUCGCACAGAACUCGCCAAAUCAGCCCGCUGUAGACAGACAGGCCUGCCCAUGCUCUCCCGAGGUCCUGAGUCACACAGAAAAAGCCGAAUCAGCCCGCUGCAGACAGGCAAGUCUGCCCAUGCCCUACCGAGGUCCGGAGUCUCGCAGAAGACACCACAUCACCCCACUGUAGACAGGCAGGUCUGCCCAUGCCCUCCCGAGGACCUGAGUUGCACAGAAGAGGCCGAAUCAGCCCACUGCACACAGACAGGUGUGCCCAUGCCCUCCUGAGGUCCUGAGUUGCACAGAACUCGCCGAAUCAGCCCGCUGUAGACAGGCAGGCCUGCCCAUGCUCUCCUGAGGUCCUGAGUCACACAGAACAUGCCAAAUCAGCCCGCUGCAGACAGGCAGGUCUGCCCAUGCCCUACCGAGGUCUGGAGUCUCCCAGAAGACACCACAUCACCCCGCUGUAGACAGGCAGGUCUGCCCAUGCCCUCCUGAGGACCUGAGUUGCACAGAACAGGCCGAAUCAGCCCACUGCACACAGGCAGGUCUGCCCAUGCCCUGCCGAGGUCCUGAGUCACGCAGAACAAGCCAAAUCACCCCACUGCAGACAGGCAAGUCUGCCCGUGCCCUACCGACGUCCUAAGUGGCACACAACACAUUUCGUCUUCACUUUCUCUAGUGGCUGAAUCUUCACAGAGAUGACUACUAAGUGCUGGGAAAUAAUAUGUGGAUCUACUUUGAUUGCUUUUCUUCCAAUAUGUGGAAUUAUUACAACUGAGCAUUCUCCAGAUUUAUCUUCCUCCAACUUACUUUUGUCAUUUACGAUUUUCUCAGCAUGCUUUUCUGUCUUUUCGAUGUUUCAACAUCCAGAUCUCCAAAGAUACCCAUAUAUGAACUCAUUGAGGUCAUCGUAUCCAAUGGAACAUUUUGAAUGGAAUUUUUCAAAAAGGUCAACUACUAUAUCUUCCAAAAAUGCAGCUGAAAAGAGAGAAGCCUGUGCUGUUUCCUUAUGAUUGUACCUCUGUAGUUUACUAAAUCUAGUAAUCAGAUAUGUAACUGGAGGAUGAUUCUUGACCAUGUAAAAAUGGUCGUAAAUGAAGUCUGCCCAUGCCCUACCGAGGUCCAGAGUCUCACAGAAGACACCACAUCACCCCACUGUACACAGGCAGGUGUGCCCAUGCCGUGCCGAGGUCCUGAGUCACGCAGAACAUGCCAAAUCACCCCACUGCAGAUAGGCAAGUCUGCCCAUGCCCUACCGAGGUCCUAAGUGGCACACAACACAUUUCGUCUUCAUUUUCUCUAGUGGCUGAGUCUUCACAGAGAUGACUGCUAAGUGCUGGGAAACAAUAUGUGGAUCUACUUUGAUUGCUUUUCUUCCAAUAUGUGGAAUUAUUACAACUCAGCAUUCUCCAGAUUUAUCUUCCUCCACCUUUAUUUGCCAUUUAUCAUUUUCUCAGCAUGGUUUUCUCUCUUUUCAAUGUUUCAACAUCCAGAUCUCCAAAGAUACCCAUAUAUGAACUCAUUGAGGUUGUCGUAUCCAAUGGAACUUUUUGAAUGGAAUCUUUCAAAAAGGUCAACUACUACAUCUUGCAAAAAUGCAGCUGAAAAGAGAGAAGCCUGUGCUGUUUCUUUACUAGAUUUAGUAAACUACAGAGGCACAAUCUUAAUCAGAUAUGUAACUGGAGGAUGAUUCUUCACCAUGUGAAAAUGGUCAUAAAUGAAGUCUGGCCAUGCCCUCCUGUGGUCCUGCAUCACACAGAACACGUCAAAUCAGCCCGCUGCAGACAGGCAGGUCUGCCCAUGCCCUCCCGAGGUCCUGCAUCACACAGAACACGUCGAAUCAGCCCGCUGCAGACAGGCAGGUCUGCCCAUGCCCUACCGAGGUCCGGAGUCUCGCAGAAGACACCACAUCACCCUGCUGCAGAUAGGCAGGUCUGCCCAUGUCCUGCUGAGGUCCUGAGUCACGCAGAACACGCCAAAUCACCCCACUGCAGACAGGCAAGUCUGCCCAUGCCCUACCGAUGUCCUAAGUGGCACACAACACAUUUCGUCUUCAUUUUCUCUAGUGGCUGAAUCUUCACAGAGAUGACUACUAAGUGCUGGGAAAUAAUAUGUGGAUCUACUUUGAUUGCUUUUCUUCCAACAUGUGGAAUUAUUACAACUGAGCAUUCUCCAGAUUUAUCUUCCUCCAACUUACUUUUGCCAUUUAUCAUUUUCUCAGCAUGGUUUUCUGUCUUUUCGAUGUUACAACGUCCAGAUCUCCAAAGAUACCCAUAUAUGAACUCAUUGAGGUCGUCUUAUCCAAUGGAACUUUUUGAAUGGAAUUUUUCAAAUAGGUCAACUACUACAUCUUCCAAAAAUGCAGCUGAAAAGAGAAGCCUGUGCUGUUUCUUUACUAGAUUUAGUAAACUACAGAGGUACAAUCAUAAUCAGAUAUGUAACUGGAGGAUGAUUCUUCACCGUGUAAAAAUGGUCGUAAAUGAAGUCUGGCCAUGUCCUCCCAUGGUCCUGCGUCACACGGAUCACACCAAAUCAUCCUGCUGCAGACAGUCAGGUCUGCCCAUGCCCUCCUGAGGACCUGAGCCACAGAGAACAGGCCGAAUCAGCCCACUGCACACAGGCAGGUGUGCCCAUGCCCUGGUGAUGUCCUGAGUCGCACAGAACACGCCGAAUCAGCCCUCUGCAGACAGGCAGGUCUGCCCAUGCCCUGCCGAGUUCCUGAGUCAUGCAGAAUACACCAAAUCACCCCGCUGCAGACAGGCAGGUCUGCCCAUGCUCUGUCGAGGUCCUGAGUCACACAGA